CACCAUGUCUACAGCAGGGGGAUAGAAGAAUAAGAGAUCAUUAUUCUAGGUCUUUCCCAUUGUAGGCCUGGCUUGACAUAAGUAAUUGGACAUGGGCGAGGCCUCAUUUCUUGCAAGACAGGAUUAAGGAGACAGAGAAGUUCACUUUGUAACCAGUGUGUUUAAGAUCCUUUUACUUAGCUGUAUGAAAAGUGCUCGCACUCAAAGGAAGAACUCAGAGACAGUGGGAAAAUGUUUGAGAGGUUCCCAGGUGUAACAUUUUAAAAAGAAAAAAAAAUGUUUCUAGAAAUAACAAAGACUAAGAUGCGCUGUAAGAAAGCCUGCCAUCAGUGUCAUUCUGAAAAGAACCAGCCUAGAAGAUAGUGGGAUGAGUUGUUUCUCUCUGCCAUAGAAGCAGCCUGUUUUGUCUCUCCCAGUUUUGGGGUUCUUCUCUGUUAUAGUUCUGAAUUCCAAGAAAUAAAGUAGUUACA
Molecule: long non-coding RNA, 470 nt
Organism: Mauremys reevesii (Reeves's turtle)
Lineage: Eukaryota; Metazoa; Chordata; Testudines; Geoemydidae
Exons: 4
Source: RefSeq, a predicted model, not a curated record